This is a long non-coding RNA of Cucumis melo (muskmelon), 1097 nucleotides long. RefSeq lists it as uncharacterized. The transcript is spliced from 2 exons. The record is from RefSeq and is a predicted model, not a curated record. NCBI's taxonomy places the organism in Eukaryota, Viridiplantae, Streptophyta, Magnoliopsida, Cucurbitales, Cucurbitaceae.
AGAUUUGUUUGAUAUUAAAAGAAAAGGGGGAUGGAAAAGGAGGGAGGGAGAGAAAAGACAGAGAUGUGGGGAAAGAGAAAGGAAUGAAUAAAUAUCAUCAUUACAUUUCUCUCAUCAAUUGCUUCUAAAAUAAAUAAAUAUUAACCAAACUCUUCUCCUCCCUUCUUCUUCUUCUUCUUCUUCUUCUUCUUCAAUUCAUUUCUUCAUUUAUUUUCAUUUCUCUCUUCUACUCCAUGGCCUCUUUCUUUUUGACAUAAGAAAGAGGGGUUUUCAAGAAGGAAGAAGAGGACGAAGAUGAAGAUGAAGAUGUUGCAGCAAUAUAUACAUAUGAAGAUCAGUAGCAGCAUAUGUAGCUUAAAUUUUCAUGGGGGGGUUUGUCAAAGGGUUUCCAACAGAAUUUAUUGGCAUUCUGUCCACCUCCUCCACAUAUUAAUUUAUAUUUAUAUUAUAUAUAUACUUUAAUUUCUGUGUGUUUAUCGUUAUAAUUAAUUAUAAAUUAAAUUGAUUCAUUUGUUUGGUUUGGAGGUGGGCAUACUGCCAAUUGAGUUCUCUUUGGAUCCUCUUUGUAACACCCCUUCUUGAAUAAUAUCUCUACAUUCUAUCUUUCUUUUCUUCUUUUUUCCCCCUUAUUUCCAUGAUCUCCAUGCCCUCUCUCAAGGUUAAAACCAUCUGGAAAAUUGGUAGCAGGAAGAGGGAGAAUACGAUGGAUCAUCAAUCCAAAAAUGCAUGGGUGAGUCAAUUUGAUUUUCUUUUUUUAAUCUCUUGUGGAUUUUUGUUGUUGUUGUUGUUUGUGUGUUAAUUAUUAUUAAGAUCUAUUGGUUCCAUACUUCACAUAAAAUAAAUCCACACUGGCGUCGAAAAUAGAUGGCACGAUGUAUAUCAGACCAUCAUCUAGACAGGUCGUAAUGAGUAGGAGGGUGUGGCGGUGGUUGCAAAACCUUAGGCGCAAACUCAGGAGAAGUGACCUUGGGUGCAGAUGUUGGUAGUAGCAGCAAAUAUUCAAAAAAAAAAAAAAAUAAUAACUUAAAUAUAAAUAAAUAAAUGAAUAAAUAUAUAUAUAUACAUGUAUGAACAUAUGUAUAUAUAUUGUUUUUGGA